RNAcentral lists this unclassified non-coding RNA (543 nucleotides) under Patiria miniata (bat star). Its description in RNAcentral is "uncharacterized LOC119732247, transcript variant X14". Lineage: Eukaryota; Metazoa; Echinodermata; Asteroidea; Valvatida; Asterinidae. The record is from RNAcentral.
CUGAGUUACACUUAUUGCUUUAAAAACACCAGUUUUCUGGUGUCAGUUUUGUUCAUAAAAUGUUCUUGCAAAUAAGACUUAACUUGUUAACUGUAUACAUGUAGCAGUCAAGAUGUUCUGUCCUUGCUCCUGAAUCUAAAACAAUUUAACCAUGGAUUCUCAACACAAGGAAAGGAAGACAUUCAGCCAAAAAAGAAGAGUUAAAUGGUUCAGCAGAGGUCCUUGAGAGCAUAGGAGGCCUCAUCUCAGCAGGAGUCUUCAUCUAUGAGAAUGGGCUGUUAUGAUUCGAGCCAGCUACACUUCAUGAAACAGCCUAUGGACUCCUGGUGGAAAAGCAACGGCGCAAGCUGCAUCAGAGAUGCACCAUCUACUUAGAGCAACGUUACUGCGGAUCCAUCAACGAAAAAAAAAGGAAGACAUUCAGCCCAAAAAGAAGAGUCGAUCGAAUGGUUCAGCAGAGGGGUUUGAGGACUGCAUCUUCAAGCUCGAGAUGCAAGGAGCCUGCAUUACUUGGCCCAGCUUGAGCUGACACUGAAGAGGAGU